AGACAAUAUUACCCCCAGCACUAUCCCCGGCUAUGAAUAAUCUGUUAAAAUCACCAUGGUUUGCUAUCCAUGGUUCGGCGUCUUUACCGGCGGCGUGUGAAGCCACCCACUGAAGGGCAUCCCAGCAGUCUUGAUAAAGUGUGGGCAGGUCAUGUUCUGGGGCAAGGCGAUAAUUCACAGAAAUAGCAAUGCAUUUUGAUUCAGAAACCAAAUGGUUGAGGUAACGGUGUUCCGUUUGGAAGAAGGCGGAUCCGGCAACUAGUCCUCCGCCGUGGUAGUAAACUAAGACGGGUAGCUUUUGAUCGGCGAUAGUGUUUUUGGGAAGGUAAAGUCUGGCGGAGAUAUGAGGGGAAAUGGUCACGUCUUUGGAUGAAACGCCGGUGUCUGGAUCUUCUAACGAGGGAGGAACUUCAACUAUGCCGUAAAGUUCGUAAAAACGAUGGACUCGGCCGUUUUUAUAGAGUCGGU
Molecule: long non-coding RNA, 468 nt
Filed under: Nicotiana tabacum (common tobacco)
Lineage: Eukaryota; Viridiplantae; Streptophyta; Magnoliopsida; Solanales; Solanaceae
Description: long non-coding RNA (NTAB_LNC003377)
Source: RNAcentral